Molecule: ribosomal RNA, 542 nt
Filed under: uncultured archaeon
Lineage: Archaea
Description: bacterial SSU rRNA
Rfam family: Archaeal small subunit ribosomal RNA
Source: RNAcentral
GGCAGCCGCCGCGGGAACACCGGCGGCCCGAGUGGUGAUCGUGAUUAUUGGGUCUAAAGGGUCCGUAGCCGGUUUGGUCAGUCCUCCGGGAAAUCUGAUAGCUCAACUAUUAGGCUUUCGGGGGAUACUGCCAGACUUGGAACCGGGAGAGGUAAGAGGUACUACAGGGGUAGGAGUGAAAUCUUGUAAUCCCUGUGGGACCACCUGUGGCGAAGGCGUCUUACCAGAACGGGUUCGACGGUGAGGGACGAAAGCUGGGGGCACGAACCGGAUUAGAUACCCGGGUAGUCCCAGCCGUAAACGAUGCUCGCUAGGUGUCAGGCAUGGCGCGACCGUGUCUGGUGCCGCAGGGAAGCCGUGAAGCGAGCCACCUGGGAAGUACGGCCGCAAGGCUGAAACUUAAAGGAAUUGGCGGGGGAGCACAACAACGGGUGGAGCCCUGCGGUUUAAUUGGACUCAACGCCGGACAACUCACCGGGGGCGACAGCAAUAUGUAGGCCAAGCUGAAGACUUUGCCUGAAUCGCUGAGAAGUGGUGCAUGG